RNAcentral lists this ribosomal RNA (281 nucleotides) under Goniosoma capixaba. RNAcentral's name for it is "partial large subunit ribosomal RNA". Lineage: Eukaryota; Metazoa; Arthropoda; Arachnida; Opiliones; Gonyleptidae. The record is from RNAcentral.
AAUUAAUUCAACAUCGAGGUCGCAAACCUAAUUAUUAAUAAGAACUUACCAAUUAAAUUACGCUGUUAUCCCUAGAGUAACUAAUAAUAAUAAUCUUUUACUAUUCAAAAAUUUUCUUCUUCAAAAAUUGCCCCAAUUAAAAGUUUAUAAACUUCAAGCUUCUAGGGUCUUCUCGUCCCAAGAGUUUAUUAAAACAUUUUUAAUUUUAAUUUAAAUUCAAAAUCAUAAAAUAAAACAAUCCUCUUAGUAUCUACCAUUCAUCCCAGUUCCCAAUUAAAAAA